RNAcentral lists this long non-coding RNA (518 nucleotides) under Ananas comosus (pineapple). Its description in RNAcentral is "long non-coding RNA (ACOM_LNC000704)". Lineage: Eukaryota; Viridiplantae; Streptophyta; Magnoliopsida; Poales; Bromeliaceae. The record is from RNAcentral.
AGUGUCGAACUUCUAUAGUUAUGAAGUUGCGGUGGAAUGUGAUACACCGGAUUUUAAUAUAAAAGUAAAAAUAAAUAAAAAUAGUAUGAGAUACUAUUUUUAUUAGAUUUAGAGAAGUGAAAUAUGAGUCGGAAGUGACUCGUUCUAUAAUCGGAAUAAAAACAGAAGAUUUAGAAUUUUCUGUGCAGAACGGGGCAGAUAUUUUAGUAGAAAAUGCAGUGUCGAAAAAUUAUAAAAAAUGGAGAAUAUAUUAGAAUUAUUUUUAUGAGGCUAGAUUUAAAGUUUCAUGUCAUUCUAACACCCGGAAAGUGGAAAAUAAAAUCCGACUAUUAUCUACUAGAUAUUACAGUUCGGUAGAGCUUUCGGUGACCAAACAGGGUCGAAACUGAAAGAUUAAAAAUUCUUUCGCUAAGUUAAGUAAAACUGAGCAUGACUAUCAAAUUUGAGCUCAAACGGACAUUUAGAAGGGCAGACGAAAAAUAUCUGUACCUGAGCUGAAAACUGAGAGUUGAAUAGUG